This is a long non-coding RNA of Vidua macroura (Pin-tailed whydah), 860 nucleotides long. RefSeq lists it as uncharacterized. NCBI's taxonomy places the organism in Eukaryota, Metazoa, Chordata, Aves, Passeriformes, Viduidae. The transcript is spliced from 3 exons. The record is from RefSeq and is a predicted model, not a curated record.
GGAACCCAGAACACAUCCCCGCUUUCUCCGAUGCCCCUGUUACAUAUGUCCCACACCAGGACGGGAAGGCCCAAGCCCAGUGGUUGCCUUUUGCCUACCAGGCGACCAAGGAAUUGUGCAAGUCCCUGAAGGAGUUCAACCGGGACUCCGAGUACUUUAGGGGGCUCCUGAGGGCCACAUUGUCUAACAAUGACUUAACACCUGCUGACCUCUGGCAGCUCUUGUCAUGUCUCCUGUCUUCCACCAAGUUCCUGCUAUGGGAAUCAGCAUGGAAGAAGGAAAUUCGGGCUUUGCUGCUGGCAUUGUGGGUGGACCCCUGAACAGCGGCAGAUGAUCAAGUUGAGACUGACAGAUCCUUUCCACCUCAGGGACAGUGAGUGGCACUUUGUGUCCGUAAACCGCGAAACACUGGGAACUUGGAUGACCAUCCACAGUAUCACCCCGGCUGCUUCCUGGAAAAUGGCACCUGGGACUGUGAGGAGGAAGUGACGUCAGAGUUUGUAGGCGAAUGUAGAAACAUUUGGCCAAAUCCAGCCAAGAAAACCCCUAAAACAACGAGCCACCACAGAAUUAAACAAUCUAAGUGACUUCUAAGAGUAAGCAACUGAAAUCCAGUGUCUGCUGAGACCUUUUAACCUCUCACUCUAACGCAAGGGAUGUCAGCUAGAAAGAGAACCUCAAAUGUCAAACCAAAGGGUGGAAUCUCCUGCUUCUUCACAUGAGGACGGAAGCCACGGCUUUGCCUGCACUCCAGCGGACAAAGCUGCACACCUCUUCCUCCGUGCCACUCCUGGGAGCAGCAGUGGUGUGCACGCAACCCAUUGGGCCCCCACCCAAGCUGAUCCUAAUAAAGGCUUUAA